GCUCUAAUUGGGUGAUAUGGUACUAUAAGGUCAUUAAGAUAAGAUGGGGCCUGAUUAUUCAAGACCUUGUAUGUGAGGAGCAGGAUUUUGAAUUCUGGAUUUAACAGGGAGCCAAUGAAGGUAUGGGGAUGUGGGGGAAAUUGGACCCAAACGCAGGACUUGGUGCAAGGAAAGCAGUGUGUUUAUUUACAGUGAGGCAAAUUUUACAUGACAAUAAAUCCCUGUGAGUUCCCUCGACUCCCGUGCUGUCUUCUUCCCAAAAAGUCCGUGCUCUCUGCUCCUGUGUCUCUGCACUCCCCGUGUGCAAAUUCCCUGCUGACUCGGCCUCAGGAUGGCUAGAGGCAAGAAUCAAGCGCACCCAAAUGAGCGCAUCAUUGAUCAUGUGCACAUCACGCAGAGGGAGAGUGGGAGUGAGAGACGAAAGGCGCAGUGACAGAGCAUGGCAGUUGUAACGCAGUUUGUGUGAUUCCGUGUGCGUUAAUGAAACUAAAACCAUGCUUAUAGUCACCAAUACUGCAUCUGCCACAAUUAUAAGUGCAUAUCUGGCUGUACCACAGUUGGAUUUAUCAUGGCAAGCCCUGCUGUAACCAGUUCUUCUGUGAAGUUUCAUUAAAGACAGUGAACUAAAAACUCCUGGACUGCUGCAGUCUUUCUGACCGAAGACUUAGGCCAGACUCGUAUACACCGCCCUUCCCGUAUAUAUAUUCUACACCCCGUGCUCACUGCUCUCUCUCGUCUCAUGCUCCUCCUGGGGGAAAUAAUAGAGGCAGCCAUCAAAACACUUAAUUCCUGCAGGCAUACACUCACUGAACUUUAAACUAUGCUAGAAGACUGACGUAGAGUCUCA
Long non-coding RNA from Oreochromis niloticus (Nile tilapia), 847 nucleotides. RefSeq lists it as uncharacterized. The transcript is spliced from 2 exons. Lineage: Eukaryota; Metazoa; Chordata; Actinopteri; Cichliformes; Cichlidae. The record is from RefSeq and is a predicted model, not a curated record.